GUGUGUGUGUGUGUGUGUGUGUGUGUGUGUGUGUGUGUGUGUGCGUGCGUGCGUGCGUGCGUGCGUGCGUGCGUGCGUGCGUGCGUGUGUAUAGACUCAUACAAUAGUAAGCUUGGCAUUUAGUAUAUUUCCUCAAAAACAGCCAAGCACAACAACAUACACAUAAGCCAGUAUCACAGCAUUCACUUGGUAGUCAGCUAGUUCCUGCUGAUUUCCUGUACUUUUACUCUUUGAUUUGAAGAGAAGCAGUUGAUUAGAGCUGAACAUUCUCCUGUGUCUGGUGUUAAACAUAAUGCUGGCAAGAUAAUAAUGCACCUUCAUCUGCUAAAACAUUCCAUGGUCUGAACUAACGUUACCAAUUUAUUGUGUUUUCCCAGUGCUCUGUAUUACUGUGAAGUGCUGAGAGCCAUCUUUAUCUGCUUUCAAAGACUGCCACCUAGAGGCUAUCCAAGAUUUCAAAGGACACAAUAUCCUCCAGACAGCCUUCAUCAGAGAGGAGGAGGACUGAUGUCGUACUGAGAGUCAAGGGGUUAGAGUUGAGAGAUCAGCUCACCCAAUGUCUCCUCCCUUCAGCAGCCUGCGGUCUUGAUGUCCAGCCGGGCCUGGUACUCCUGGGAGCUGUGCUCUGUGUCUGACCUGAUCUGGGUCAGCCGGCUCUCCAGACCUGUCACCGACGCCUGUAGGCUCAUCAUCAUGGCUCCGUAGCAAGCUUCCAUCUCCGCAAGGUUCCCCUCCAUAGAGCCUUCUACAAGGGCAGGGCCACAGACACACAGUGAGAACUGAGCUGAACUCUGAAUCUUCAAUCCUUUUUGGUUAAGUCUGACUUGUACACUUCAUUUCUGGAGGUCACUUAGCAUUUUAUUUUCCAAAUAGAUGUAUGUCCAAUCCCUACAGCAGACGAGUACGGGGCAAGAGUUGUGAUGUCUUGAGCUGAAGUGAUCCUUGGAACUGUAAAAAAUAAUUUGUGGCUUGUUUUGAAACUCUUUAGGCCUAUUUGUUCUGAGCAUCAUGACGCAUGUUGUAAUAGUAAAUCAUAGGGUCCAAACGGAGAGUCUUAUAAUGUGACAGGUAAAUGAGAAACUAAAGUGCUUCUAUCCAAGAAGUUCUAAAUCUGCCGUGCUGGGCGUGCCACCAAACCAUGGAACUCUAUAUCGGUUGUGUUGGGAAUGCCACUUUACUGCAGCCCCAGUUCCAGGUCUCUGGCAGUGGACUGGCCGCUCUUCAGCUCUACACUGGUGGUCUGCAGGACCUCAGUACUGGAGCUCACCUCCCGCUGCACCACUUCAGCCUGAGGGAACCAACACGCACAGGUCCAUGGAGUCAUACACAAGGGUUGCGUCCCAAAUGCACACUAUUCCCUACAUCUCGUGCACUACAUUUUUACCAGAGCUCUAUGGGCCCUGGUCAAAAGUAGUGCACCCUACAGGAAUAGGGUGCAAUUUGGGAUGUACUCUAUGUCUGUGUGUUUGUCCCCUUGCCUUGUUCUUGAACCAGGCCCCGGUCUCUCUACGGCUCUUUGACACCAAGCCCUGGUUCUGAUCUCAGUGAUGACAGUGUUCAAGUCCUAGACCGGGGCCGCGUCCACCUCCACCUGCACCUGUCCACUCAUCGGGGCACGGAACCACAUGGUCUUCUAGGAAACAACAACAACAUCAACAACAACAUUACAGAGGUAUCAGCAUAGGAAUUGGCAGCACAGACAGAUCUGGGACCAGGCUAACCUGGCCAAGCAUCCUCCCCCAGCAUCCUCUUCAGCCCCCACGAUGUCAGCCUCAACAGAUUGUCGUGAAUGGAGAAUGUGGCCAUGAUGACUUCAGAGAGCGCAAGAAGCAUGGUCUCUGGUGGGAGAUGCACUGCAAGUGGGGUGCAGUUGUGGUCUCUCUGUGAAACACUGUUAUUAAUGGGCAUGUGGAAUGUGAUGACUGGGGUCUGCCUUGAGCCAUCUCUCAAUUUUCAUGUUCACGAUCGCAGGGUCUCUCUCUCUCUGUCUCUCUGGCAUGCUCUGCCACUCAGUCCUAUCUGUCAGCAAGUCAGCCCAUCUGCAGGAUGUCCUCUAGCUCUUUCACUCACAAACAUGCCACCCCCUCCCCUUCUCUCACCCCUUCCUCCAAAUCUUGUAUGUCCAGACGUGCAAACAAGAAUGAUAGGGUCAUAGGUUUACACUACUUAGUGGAGGCUGCUGAGGGGAGGAUGGCUCAUAAUAAUGGCUGGAGUGGAGUCAAUGGAAUAGAAUCAACCACAUGGAAACCACAUUGUUAAUGUGUUUGGUACCAUUCCACUGACAGCAUUCCAGCCAUUAUUAUGAGCCGUCCUCCCCUCAGCAGCCACCAGUGACACUACUGUACAACUGCAAACUGCAGUAACUGCACAUUUGGUCAAAAUUGAGUUAAGACCGAAAUCAGGUUUUGUAGUAUCUGUUUUAUCUUGUGUCCCCUGGUUCAAUUAACUUUAGUUUCAGAGAAAAUACUAUGGAGUGUCAAAUUUACAGUAACUACAAAAUAAGUAGUAAAGUAAAAAACCAAGGCAAACAGCAGUAACUUAAGUUACUAAGUGAAGUUACUGUACUCUGGGUUUGUUCCACUGUGUUUUGACUGCAGUUACUGAAGUUUUCCCAUUCUAUUCGAGUUCAGGCCAUCCCGAUCAUGACUCACACACACCAUGAGACAGCCAGUGAUCCAGUUGCUAACAGAAUAAACAGGGCACAAUCCCACAGACCAAUUAUGGCUGAACUCGCAUUGAAAUGCAAAUACCCAGAUAAUGUAUACAUCGUUUGUGAUCUUGUACCUACCUAUUUAGUCACAGAUUUAGAUCCCUAAUGCAAUUGGAAACAUUAAUGUCAUCACUUGCAUAUUGCAUCAAGACACAUUGUUGGAUCUGUUUGGAUAUGUUUACAGACUAAGCUUCUUCUGCCUUUAGGUUAUCCCACCAAUGUGAAAUUAAAGGAUUUGAAAAGCAUAAAUGAAUCCGAGUAUAUGUCAGAAAUGACUGGUGUUACGUAAGUGAAAGGUACACCAUAUGGAUGAGAAGACUAAUGACAAGCAGGCUAGCUUGUCAAAAUAUUCCUAAGUAACUUCGUAUUUAUUUUAGAAAGAUCCUCUUCGAAUGGGCAUGGUCUAAUUGAAUCAACAGUUAAAUAUACAUAUCUGAUUUGAGCUUUCUUAAUGACGCAAGUCUCUUCUCAUUAUUGGUGUCCUUUAGCAGUGGUUUCUUUGCAGUAAUUUGAACAUGAAGGCCUGAUUCACACAGCCUCCUCUGAACAGUUGAUGUUGAGAUGUGUCUGUUACUUGAACUCCGCAUUUAUUUGGGCUGCAAUCUGAGGUUUUCCAGAAAUGUUCCGGAUUGACUGACCUUCAUGUCUUAAAGUAAUGAUGGACUGUUAUUUCUCUAUGUUUAUUUGAGCUGUUCUUGCAAUAAUAUGGACUUGGUCUUUAGCCAAACUGUGCUUCUUCUCUGUUUCAUCCAUACCUUGUCAUAACACAACUGAUUGGCUCAAACACAUUAAGAAGGAAAGAAAUUCCACAAAUGAACUUUUAACAAGGUACACCUGUGAAUUGAACUGCAUUCCAGGUGACUACUUCAUGAAGCUUCCUGUGGUUUACUGCGAAGUGGUAGGCCACAUCGGGACCGCCGAAUGCUGUCUGUCCUCUGUUGCAACACUCACUACCAAGUUCCAAACUGCCUCUGGAAGCAACAUCAGCACAUUAAAUGGGUUUCCAUGGCCAAGCAGCCGCACACAAGCCUAAGAUCACCAUGCUCAAUACCAAGCGGUGGCUGGAGUGGUGUAAUACUCGCCCCCAGUGGACUCUGGAGCAGUGGAAAUGUGUUCUCUGGAGUGAUGGAUCACACUUCACUUUUGGAUUGGUUAUUCUGGAAUGUUGACAACUCAGCGGUUUGGAUUGGUUAUUCUGGAGUGUUGACAACUCAGCGGUUUGGAUUGGUUAUUCUGGAGUGUUGACAACUCAGCGGUUUGGAUUGGUUAUUCUGGAGUGUUGACAACUCAGCGGUUUGGAUUGGUUAUUCUGGAGUGUUGACAACUCAGCGGUUUGGAUUGGUUAUUCUGGAGUGUUGACAACUCAGCGGUUUGGAUUGGUUAUUCUGGAGUGUUGACAACUCAGCGGUUUGGAUUGGUUAUUCUGGAGUGUUGACAACUCUGCGGUUUGGAUUGGUUAUUCUGGAGUGUUGACAACUCAGCGGUUUGGAUUGGUUAUUCUGGAGUGUUGACAACUCAGCGGUUUGGAUUGGUUAUUCUGGAGUGUUGACAAUUCAGCGGUUUGGAUUGGUUAUUCUGGAGUGUUGACAACUCAGCGGUUUGGAUUGGUUAUUCUGGAGUGUUGACAACUCAGCGGUUUGGAUUGGUUAUUCUGGAGUGUUGACAAUUCAGCGGUUUGGAUUGGUUAUUCUGGAGUGUUGACAAUUCAGCGGUUUGGAUUGGUUAUUCUGGAGUGUUGACAAUUCAGCAGUUUGGAUUGGUUAUUCUGGAGUGUUGACAACUCAGCGGUUUGGAUUGGUUAUUCUGGAGUGUUGACAACUCAGCGGUUUGGAUUGGUUAUUCUGGAGUGUUGACAACUCAGCGGUUUGGAUUGGUUAUUCUGGAGUGUUGACAACUCAGCGGUUUGGAUUGGUUAUUCUGGAGUGUUGACAAUUCAGCGGUUUGGAUUGGUUAUUCUGGAGUGUUGACAAUUCAGCGGUUUGGAUUGGUUAUUCUGGAGUGUUGACAACUCAGCGGUUUGGAUUGGUUAUUCUGGAGUGUUGACAACUCAGCGGUUCGGAUUGGUUAUUCUGGAGUGUUGACAAUUCAGCGGUUUUGGAUUGGUUAUUCUGGAGUGUUGACAAUUCAGCGGUUUGGAUUGGUUAUUCUGGAGUGUUGACAACUCAGCGGUUUGGAUUGGUUAUUCUGGAGUGUUGACAACUCAGCGGUUUGGAUUGGUUAUUCUGGAGUGUUGACAACUCAGCGGUUUGGAUUGGUUAUUCUGGAGUGUUGACAACUCAGCGGUUUGGAUUGGUUAUUCUGGAGUGUUGACAACUCAGCGGUUUGGAUUGGUUAUUCUGGAGUGUUGACAACUCAGCGGUUUGGAUUGGUUAUUCUGGAGUGUUGACAACUCAGCUGUUUGGAUUGGUUAUUCUGGAGUGUUGAC
Oncorhynchus keta (chum salmon) is the source of this 5135-nucleotide long non-coding RNA. RefSeq lists it as uncharacterized. The record is from RefSeq and is a predicted model, not a curated record. The transcript has 3 exons. Lineage: Eukaryota; Metazoa; Chordata; Actinopteri; Salmoniformes; Salmonidae.